GACGAACGCUGGCGGCGUGCCUAACACAUGCAAGUCGCACGGGGUAGCAAUACCCAGUGGCGAACGGGUGCGUAACACGUGAGGAACAUACCUAUCGGCGGGGGAUAGCCGGCCCAACGGCCGGGUAAUACCGCGUACGCUCUCCGGGGGGCAUCUCCUGGGGAGGAAAGCAGCAAUGCACCGAUAGAGUGCCUCGCGGCCUAUCAGCUAGUUGGUGAGGUAAUGGCUCACCAAGGCGACGACGGGUAGCUGGUCUGAGAGGAUGAUCAGCCACAUUGGGACUGAGACACGGCCCAGACUCCUACGGGAGGCAGCAGUGGGGAAUCUUGCGCAAUGGGCGAAAGCCUGACGCAGCGACGCCGCGUGUGGGAUGAAGGCCUUCGGUCGUAAACCACUGUCGCGAGGGACGAAUACAUUGACGGUACCUCGAAAGGAAGCACCGGCUAACUCUGUGCCAGCAGCCGCGGUAAUACAGAGGGUGCGAGCGUU
This 489-nucleotide ribosomal RNA is filed under the name uncultured bacterium. RNAcentral's name for it is "bacterial SSU rRNA". It matches the Rfam family "Bacterial small subunit ribosomal RNA", at positions 28 to 542 of the family's 1533-position model. The record is from RNAcentral.